UUCAAAUAGUAUGUUAUCCAAUGCCUUACCAUGGGGAGUAAAAAUUCUUCAUAUUGAUAACAUUAGAUACUACAUAGAACAAAAGAAAAAAGAGUUGUAUUUAUUGAAGAAAUCAAGUAUUUCUGUAAAAGAUGUGGGGAAAGAGUUGGUAUUGGUGCACAAAAAACAAGAAGACUCAAAAACCUUUUGUAAAGGUAGAAUAUAUGAGCCAACUUUAUAGGCCAUUUUAUCUUCAGUUGACCAAUAUGCCUUUUAUAAAUUAUUCUAUUCAGAAGCCUUGCAGUCCAUUUGAUGUAGCUAAGCCAUCUAGCAACUGGAAGCAAACUCAGGUUAAACUAAGAAUCCAAAAAGAUGGUGAUAAAUGUGGUGGAACCCCAAUUCAAGUCCAGUUGAAAGAGCAGGAAAAAAAAGGAUAUUGUGAAUGUUGCUUGCUGAAAUAGGAAGAUCUUGAAACUCACCUUGCGAGCAGCACAGAAACUUUGCCCAGAGUAACCAAUAUCAAGUAUCUAAGUUAGUUUUUGACUUUGUGGAAUAUGAAAGAGACACACCUGGAAAAAGAAUAAAAUACAGUGUUGUAUCACUUUCUCCCAUUUCUGCAAGUGUCCUGAAAAAGACUGAACAAAAAGAAAAACUAGAAUUGCAGUAUAUUUCUCAGAAAGACCUCAGGGAAAAUAACAUACAGGUGUUGGAGCAGAAUUUCCUGUAUAAAGAGACCCAGGAACCUGGACAAAAACUUGUGUUUAUUUUAAAGUCCAUCCCUUCCCCUUUUGAAUGAAUUCAGAGGCCCAAAUGAGAAAAUGACUAAUAAAUGUUCCCUGUUAAAUCCACUUGAAAAUGACCUAAAACAGAAUUUUUCACACCUACCUCCACAUGAAAAUAAACAGGAAUACAAUCUUGACAUCUGUGAACAUAAAAUAACUGCAAAUUAAUAUGACUUAGAAGAACUUAAAGUAGAUUGCCGUUCAUGUAAGCUACAGACAUCUAUUUCUGUUUCUAAUUUCAAUGUGGAUGAUAGUGCAUCACAACCAAAACAAAAAAACACUAUGCUUUUUCCAGCAAAGGAUUUGAAGGGAAAAGACCUUCAUUCAAUACAUGGUCAUGAGUUUGGUGUGGUAAUAAUAAACAGUUCACAAGAACAUCUAAGAAUUCAGGCAAAGACUCCAUCCCAUAUUCCUCCUCUGGAACCCAAUGAAUGUGAAGUCAAGCAUAUGGAUAUUUUACCUUCUGGUAAAAUCCAUUGAAAAGUGAAAAUAUCAUUAGGACAAAAUAAAAAAGAAAAUCUGGAACCAAAUGCUGAAUUAGAUAAGAAAAGGAUGGAGUUUCUCAUUACACAAGAAGAAAACAGAAUUUGUAGUUCACCAGUACAAUCUUUACUGGAGUUGUUUCAGACUAGUGAAGAGAAAUCAGAAUUUCGGGGUUGUACAAGCUACACUGAAAACAGUGGUAUUUGCAAUGGUUUAGAUAUUUGGGAAGAAGAAAAUUCAAAUAAUCUGUUGUCAAUGUUUUUCUCUUCUCCAUCAACUUCUACAUUUAUUGGCUUUUAGGCUUUAAAAAUUGUGCUUUUCAGAGGUGAUAAGGAUGAUAUUCUUGAAAUUUUUAUAAAUAUGUAUAAAAAUUCUUAGGGUUUUUUUUGCCAACUUUGUUUACAGAACCAAAUGUAAAUAUUAAUAAGUGUUUGCAAUUUUCUAC
This is an RNA transcript of Nycticebus coucang (slow loris), 1689 nucleotides long. It is a transcript of the gene named protein DBF4 homolog A-like, with no coding region annotated. The record is from RefSeq and is a predicted model, not a curated record. The transcript is spliced from 2 exons. Lineage: Eukaryota; Metazoa; Chordata; Mammalia; Primates; Lorisidae.